GCAAUGGUGAUUUGAUGGGAGAAUUCUCACCUUCCAUGUGGGAGACUUGGGUUCAAUUCCUGGCCAGUGCA
RNAcentral lists this transfer RNA (71 nucleotides) under Loxodonta africana (African savanna elephant). It matches the Rfam family "tRNA". Rfam says of the family: Transfer RNA (tRNA) molecules are approximately 80 nucleotides in length. Their secondary structure includes four short double-helical elements and three loops (D, anti-codon, and T loops). The record is from Rfam by way of RNAcentral. Lineage: Eukaryota; Metazoa; Chordata; Mammalia; Proboscidea; Elephantidae.